AGGAGCCUUAGUAAAGACGUACAAGCCUAAGCCUUGGGAUUUUUCUGUGGCUCUUCCUCAGUCUUUCAGCGGAUGGCACCAGCACCAACAGCAGCCAAGACUCUCUCCACAAGUCCAGCAAGAAGAAGAGCAUCAAGUCUUCCAUUGGCCGACUUUUUGGAAAGAAAGAGAAGGGGAGAGUCGGACAACCUGGGCGUGAUGGAUCACCUUCUCUGGCAUCUACUCCCUCUGAGGACAUGGCCUCUGGAGAUCCAAUGGGAAUGAACAAGACUGGGACUCUUGGUCCAGCAGACAAAGACCGGCGCAGCAAGAAGAAGUCAGUCU
Molecule: long non-coding RNA, 324 nt
Organism: Cynoglossus semilaevis (tongue sole)
Lineage: Eukaryota; Metazoa; Chordata; Actinopteri; Pleuronectiformes; Cynoglossidae
Exons: 2
Source: RefSeq, a predicted model, not a curated record